GGCCGACAAGAGCAAAACACAUUUACAUUUCACAAAACAAAUCUAUAACCAUUAAGACAAAUUUACAAAGGAAAUUCAAAUUAACAUUUCAGAAAACAAAUUUACAAUAGUGAAAGCAAUUUACAACUCCCGAGACAAAUUUACAAGCGGUAAAACAAAUUAACAGUUCAGAAAACAACUUUACAAGUGUCCCGAAACAAAUUUAUAAGCGUCAAAUCAAACGGAAAGGGUAGGUACAAUACACAGGAAGUGCUUGUUGCUGACCUUUUGUGUCAUUCAAACUGUUUUGCGAGGGAACAUUGAACGGAGUUUGUGACGGUAAAUCAAGCGACAAUGUUUUGUCCAUUUGGUGGAAACCAUUUUAGCCAGUUAGCCCGCUUUAGUUAUUCUUGUGGGUAAUGUUUAGACUUUCUAAAAGAUGCUCCCUGCACGGAAGAACCAGAUGCAAAGCCGACGUCUAAACAACCUGGAAAUGUUAAUCAAAGUACCGAAGAACAACCAUGCCCAUCAUAUAAACAGUUCAUGGACUACAGAAACUUCAAAUCAAAAGAAAGACAGUCCUUUAGCUGUGGGUCAAAGAGACGACUAAAACAAGAACAGAGACAAGUUCAGAUAAACAUAGGAUUGAUGGUGCCAAAUGGAAGUGAUUUAAAACCUGUAAGAGGGAAAACACUCCCUUUAUUUACAGACCCUCUGGUAGCAGUGCCUGAUCUGCUGAAACUAGCUGUCCAGAAAAUGAGAACAUUUAACAAGGACAUGGAUGAAGGACCAUAUAUACUUCUGUAUCCAGAUUGCUCAGAGGUGGUCAAUGUGCCUGGGACAGAAAGGCCAUUCGUAUUGGCUGAAUAUAAAAAGGAAAUAGGAAAGGCAUAUUGCAGGAUCUCUUUUUUUAUAUGCCUAGAAAAAGACUUUAG
Erpetoichthys calabaricus (reedfish) is the source of this 914-nucleotide long non-coding RNA. RefSeq lists it as uncharacterized. The record is from RefSeq and is a predicted model, not a curated record. The transcript is spliced from 3 exons. Lineage: Eukaryota; Metazoa; Chordata; Cladistia; Polypteriformes; Polypteridae.